CAGUAGCCACGGUAAUACGAAGGGGGCUAGCGUUGCUCGGAAUUACUGGGCGUAAAGGGAGCGUAGGCGGGUCGUUAAGUUGGGGGUGAAAGCCCGGGGCUCAACCUCGGAAUUGCCUUCAAAACUGGCGACCUUGAGUAUGGGAGAGGUGAGUGGAACUCCGAGUGUUGAGGUGAAAUUCGUAGAUAUUCGGAAGAACACCAGUGGCGAAGGCGACUCACUGGCCCAUUACUGACGCUGAGGCUCGAAAGCGUGGGGAGCAAACAGGAUUAGAUACCCCUGUAGUCCCUGUCUCUUAUAC
RNAcentral lists this ribosomal RNA (301 nucleotides) under uncultured bacterium. Its description in RNAcentral is "partial 16S ribosomal RNA". It matches the Rfam family "Bacterial small subunit ribosomal RNA", at positions 509 to 807 of the family's 1533-position model. The record is from RNAcentral.